CACGUAGGGGGCGAGCGUUGUCCGGAUUUAUUGGGCGUAAAGAGCUCGUAGGCGGUUUGGUAAGUCGGGUGUGAAAACUCUGGGCUCAAUUCAGAGACGCCACCUGAUACUGCUAUGACUUGAGUCUGGUAGGGGAGUAUGGAAUUUCCGGUGUAGCGGUGAAAUGCGCAGAUAUCGGAAGGAACACCAGUAGCGAAGGCGGUACUCUGGGCCAGAACUGACGCUGAGGAGCGAAAGCGUGGGGAGCGAACAGG
RNAcentral lists this ribosomal RNA (254 nucleotides) under uncultured bacterium. Its description in RNAcentral is "partial 16S ribosomal RNA". It matches the Rfam family "Bacterial small subunit ribosomal RNA", at positions 524 to 776 of the family's 1533-position model. The record is from RNAcentral.